This 449-nucleotide ribosomal RNA is filed under the name Pseudomonas sp. MWU12-2312b. RNAcentral describes it as "bacterial SSU rRNA". It matches the Rfam family "Bacterial small subunit ribosomal RNA", at positions 1 to 452 of the family's 1533-position model. The record is from RNAcentral. Lineage: Bacteria; Pseudomonadati; Pseudomonadota; Gammaproteobacteria; Pseudomonadales; Pseudomonadaceae.
GAACUGAAGAGUUUGAUCAUGGCUCAGAUUGAACGCUGGCGGCAGGCCUAACACAUGCAAGUCGAGCGGAUGAAGAGAGCUUGCUCUCUGAUUCAGCGGCGGACGGGUGAGUAAUGCCUAGGAAUCUGCCUGGUAGUGGGGGACAACGUUUCGAAAGGAACGCUAAUACCGCAUACGUCCUACGGGAGAAAGCAGGGGACCUUCGGGCCUUGCGCUAUCAGAUGAGCCUAGGUCGGAUUAGCUAGUUGGUGAGGUAAUGGCUCACCAAGGCGACGAUCCGUAACUGGUCUGAGAGGAUGAUCAGUCACACUGGAACUGAGACACGGUCCAGACUCCUACGGGAGGCAGCAGUGGGGAAUAUUGGACAAUGGGCGAAAGCCUGAUCCAGCCAUGCCGCGUGUGUGAAGAAGGUCUUCGGAUUGUAAAGCACUUUAAGUUGGGAGGAAGGG